GUCAAAUCAUCAUGCCCCUUAUGACCUGGGCAACACACGUAAUACAAUGGCGUUUGAACAGAGGGAAGCGAAGGGGCGACCUGGAGCGAAGCCCAAAAAAGCGUCUCAGUUCGGAUUGCAGGCUGCAACCCGCCUGCAUGAAGUCGGAAUUGCUAGUAAUCGCGGAUCAGCACGCCGCGGUGAAUACGUUCCCGGGCCUU
This 200-nucleotide ribosomal RNA is filed under the name uncultured prokaryote. RNAcentral describes it as "partial 16S ribosomal RNA". It matches the Rfam family "Bacterial small subunit ribosomal RNA", at positions 1184 to 1382 of the family's 1533-position model. The record is from RNAcentral.